This is a long non-coding RNA of Amphimedon queenslandica, 511 nucleotides long. RefSeq lists it as uncharacterized. The record is from RefSeq and is a predicted model, not a curated record. NCBI's taxonomy places the organism in Eukaryota, Metazoa, Porifera, Demospongiae, Haplosclerida, Niphatidae. The transcript is spliced from 3 exons.
CUUCAACUGGUAGUAGUGUAUCUGUUGAAUGGAUACUGUGGGCCUACUGGAAGGAUGUAUGCCCAUUUCUUAAUUGCAACAAUAUUCAGUCCAAUAAUUUCCAGGUUGUAUUAGCUUUUCAAAGUACUGCCACGUAUGCUGUGUUUAUAUACAAGUAUGAACUCAUACAAUGGACAAGAUAUCGAGCAGUUAUUGGUAUUAAUAGUGGUGAUGGGUACUAUAUCAAUCAUCCAUUAUCUAAUAUUGAUGGUGUUACUGAUAUAGAUUGCUAUGAUGUAGUAUCAGGAUGGAGUAACUUUGUAUACAGACUAGAUCAAGCAAUAGAUAAGUUUGAAUUCCUAUCCAUUACAUCUCACGGUAUUACAGUAUCAUGGGAACUGAUGUGAAUUAGAGCAAGAGUAGAUAAUGUAAAUUAUCUACUCUUGAUUACAAGACGUGAGAUAACUUAAUAGUUAGAUGUUUAUGAGCAACUUAAAGGAUUAUAACAUUGUGUCUUGGUUUGUAAUACAAA